GAUGAACGCUGGCGGCGUGCCUAAUACAUGCAAGUCGAGCGAACAGACGAGGAGCUUGCUCCUCUGACGUUAGCGGCGGACGGGUGAGUAACACGUGGAUAACCUACCUAUAAGACUGGGAUAACUUCGGGAAACCGGAGCUAAUACCGGAUAAUAUAUUGAACCGCAUGGUUCAAUAGUGAAAGACGGUUUUGCUGUCACUUAUAGAUGGAUCCGCGCCGCAUUAGCUAGUUGGUAAGGUAACGGCUUACCAAGGCAACGAUGCGUAGCCGACCUGAGAGGGUGAUCGGCCAGACUGGAACUGAGACACGGUCCAGACUCCUAGGGGAGGCAGCAGUAGGGAAUCUUCCGCAAUGGGCGAAAGCCUGACGGAGCAACGCCGCGUGAGUGAUGAAGGUCUUCGGAUCGUAAAACUCUGUUAUUAGGGAAGAACAAAUGUGUAAGUAACUAUGCACGUCUUGACGGUACCUAAUCAGAAAGCCACGGCUAACUACGUG
This 497-nucleotide ribosomal RNA is filed under the name uncultured bacterium. Its description in RNAcentral is "partial 16S ribosomal RNA". It matches the Rfam family "Bacterial small subunit ribosomal RNA", at positions 28 to 507 of the family's 1533-position model. The record is from RNAcentral.